AUGCCGCCCUUCCUAAUUGUUUUCACCCUGCUCUCCUGCAUCCACACCCCAGCAAACUCUGCAGCGACGGACACCAUCUUGGCCGGCCAAUCACUUGCCGUCGACGACAAGCUCAUCUCCGGCAACGGCAGGUACGCGCUCGGCUUCUUCCAGGCCGAAGGCACCACCAACUGGUACCUUGGCAUAUGGUUCAACACAGUCCCUAAAUUCACUCCAGCAUGGGUUGGAAAUAGGGAUAACCCAGUCAAGAACACCACCUCACUUGAGCUCACCAUUUCCCACGAUGGCAACCUUGUCAUCUUAAACCGGUCCACCAUGUCCAUAAUCUGGUCCACACAAGCAAACAUCUCCAGAAAUAGCACCACUGCUAGGCUGCUGAGUACUGGAAAUCUCGUACUCGCAGACUCUUCAAACUUGUCAGAGUUUCUAUGGCAGAGCUUUGAUCACCCCACGGAUACAUUUUUUCCUGGGGCCAAGCAUGGAUGGGAUAAGGCCACCGGCCUGAAUCGCCGUUUUGUUUCUUGGAAAAGCUUGACUGACCCAGCUACCGGUGUCUAUUAUUAUGAAGUAGACCCGGCCGCUGUUGACCAGAUAGUGCUUGUAGCACUCAACUCAUCCAUACCCUAUUGGUCCAGCGGUGCAUGGAACGGCAAAUAUUUUUCUGGAAUUCCAGAGAUGGCUGCCCGCCACUCUAUUAGUGCAAAUUUUGUCCACAAUGACAGAGAGAAGUACUGGACAUAUAAAUUAGUGCCUCAAUAUAUGGAUCCCAAUAUGCUUACUCGUAAUGUAAUUGACAUCUCGGGUCAAAUGAAGACAUUCAUUUGGAUGAAGGGCACACCUGAUUGGGUAAUGAUAAAUGCCCAACCAAGAGAUCAGUGUGACGUUGAUGCAAUUUGUGGACCUUUCACAAUUUGCAACGAUAAUGAUUUUCCGCACUGCAAUUGUAUGGAGGGCUUCACCAUAACAUCCCCCAAGGAUUGGGACCUAGAAGAUCGAGCAGGUGGGUGCUCAAGGAAGACUAAGUUAGACUGCAUUAGCCAUAGAGGAACAACACAUACCACAGACAAGUUCUAUUCUAUGCCAUGUGUUAAGUUGCCCAACGAUGCCCCAGAAGUAGAUGCUGCUGCAAGUGCGAGUGAGUGCGCACAAGUUUGCCUGAAUAAUUGCUCUUGCACAGCCUACUCCUUUGGCGACAAUGGAUGUUCUAUGUGGCAUAACAAAUUGCUCAAUAUAAGAGCACUACCAUGUAGUGGCACUACCAAUUCAAACAGAGAAACUCUUUACCUUCGUCUUUCUGCUAAAGAUGUACAAAGUUUGAAAAAAAAACAGAAGAGGGAUUGUUAUUGGAAUUGUAACUGGUACAGGCGUUUCUAUUUUAGGCUUAUUUGCACUUAUCCUCUUACUGAUGAUCUGGAAGAACAAACAGAAGAACUCUGGUCAGAUACUGAAUGA
This 1452-nucleotide ribosomal RNA is filed under the name Triticum aestivum (bread wheat). RNAcentral describes it as "partial small subunit ribosomal RNA". Lineage: Eukaryota; Viridiplantae; Streptophyta; Magnoliopsida; Poales; Poaceae. The record is from RNAcentral.